Molecule: ribosomal RNA, 404 nt
Filed under: uncultured bacterium
Lineage: Bacteria
Description: bacterial SSU rRNA
Rfam family: Bacterial small subunit ribosomal RNA
Source: RNAcentral
AAUCAACGCUGGCGGCGUGCCUCAGACAUGCAAGUCGAACGAUUAAAAGCUCUCUUCGGGGAGCGAGUAGAGUGGCGCACGGGUGAGUAACACGUAGGUAAUCUACCUCAGGGUGGGGAAUAACAGCCGGAAACGGCUGCUAAUACCGCAUAAUGCAGCGGCACCACAUGGUGACAGUUGUUAAAGCGGGGGAUCGUAAGACCUCGCGCCUGGAGAUGAGCCNGCGGCGGAUUAGCUAGUUGGCAGGGUAACGGCCUACCAAGGCAACGAUCCGUAGCCGGCCUGAGAGGGCGGACGGCCACACUGGCACUGACAUACGGGCCAGACUCCUACGGGAGGCAGCAGUCGGGAAUUUUGGGCAAUGGGCGAAAGCCUGACCCAGCAACGCCGCGUGAAGGAUGAAG